CGCCUUGGCUUCCCUUGGCUACAGAGCCGUGGCUCCGGACUUACGUGGGUUCGGUGACACGGAUGCGCCGCCUGAGGUGACCAGCUACACGUGUUUCCACGUGAUUGGAGACCUCGUCGGACUCAUCGACACCGUGGCUCCCAGCGAUGAGAAGGUGUUUGUUGUGGGACAUGAUUGGGGUGCGCUCAUGGCAUGGUUCUUAUGUUUGUUUAGACCUGACAGAGUCAAAGCUUUAGUCAACUUGAGUGUCGUUUUUAAUCCUUUUGGUUCUAACGACAACCUGAUUGAGGCUCUGAGGGCUUAUUAUGGUGACAAUUACUACAUGUGCAGAUUUCAGGUAACUCGGAUGUCCAUAUCUAAAACGAUUAGGCUGUCCCUUAUAUAUAUAUAUACACACAAUAAUACUAUUCUGGUUCAGGAUCCUGGACUUUUUUGCUAAAAUUAUUAGCAUUAUUCUAUUAUAUCGUUAAACCAUAGGGUGAAUAUAUAUAUAUAUAUUGAUAUCAUAUCAUAUUAUUGUAUGCAGAAGCCUGGAGAAAUUGAAGCAGAGUUUGCGCAGAUUGGUACUGAGACGGUUAUUAAGGAAUUCUUCACAUUUUGGACUCGGGAUCGAAUUUUUUUGCCUAAAGGCAAAGGAUUUGGGCGUCCACCAAAUACGCCAAUAGCAUUACCCAGUUGGUUAUCUGAGGAAGAUGUUAAGUAUUUCACCACCAAAUUUGACAAGAAAGGCUUUACUGGAGCAAUGAACUAUUACAGAAAUAUUUAAUCUGUAAUGCUCUAUUAUUCCUUACUCUCUACAUUUGAUACGCAACUUUUUAAUUUUGUGAACUUUCAAUUGUGAAAUGAAAUUAUUGGCUAUUACUUAAAAUUGCAUAUUAUGCAAUGUAUAUUUAUUAGAUACUAUCAACUUUUUAUUUUUCCUUUAACGACACCACACUACCAUCGUAAUUGACUAUUGUGAUUUUAAUGUUAAAUUGAAGUACAACAGUUUCAAUAUAUCAUCUCUCUCUCUCUAUAUAUGUAUGUAUGUAUGUAUGUUUCAAUUGGAAUUUUAAAGUGUAGGAAAGUCCAUAAAAACAAGUUUAUGCGCUUUAAGUUUUAAGCCUCUUAAACCCCACGGUUUUAAAAUUUUUCUGAAUUUUUUCUGCAUUUUAAAAUCUCGAACCAAAAAAUAACUCUCUCUCUCUCUCUCUCUCUCUCUCUCUCUCUAUAUAUAUAUAUAUAUAUAUAUAUAUAUAUAUGUAUGUAUACACAGAUAUAUAGUAAAAUCCUUUUCAUCAUUGCCGGAACGAUGAACUUCUUGCACCGUGGGCAGGGAGUCAAAAACAAAUUCCGACCAAGUUCAUUAUAGGCGACUUGGACAUGACAUAUCAUAUGCCGGGGGUGCAAGAAUACAUACACAAAGGUGGGUUCAAAAGAGAUGUGCCAUUGUUGGAGAAAGUAGUCAUAAUGGAAGGAGUUGGACACUUCAUUAAUCAAGUAAAGAGUAAUGAGAUUAGCAAGCACAUUUAUGACUUCUUCAACAAGUUCUGAUUAGCUCUUUGCAUCUUCAUGCAUAUUUCCACUUGGGUGUUUUUUUGUUUUAAUAAAGUUGCUGGGAUGUUCUUGUGCCGGCCUGUUUUAGUUUUCGAUUCAUUACGAACCAAGCUAGUGGCUUUGGCUCGUAAUUUCCGUAUUGUUGGAAUAAUCAAAUAAUUUAAGGUGACUUUUGGUAUUGUUUCUCAAAUGUUAUUUUUGUACUUGUUUUAUAAUAUAGAUAUAUUUUCAGAGGUUGUCCCUUUCUCUCCAGUGGAAACAAUAUAUACUAUUUAUUACCUACUAGUUUCAUAAUAUUGAAAAAAACCCAGCACCAUAAAUUUAAAGGAUAAGAGGGAUAUUAAAUGGGUCAUUUGCUUGACAAGUUAUUUUGAUAUAAAAUAUAUAUUUAUUUUAAGUAAAAAAAGAAAAAAAGAAAAAUAUCUUAUUAUUAAUUUUUUAUUCACACCGAAACAUAUAUUUUUUAGAUUUAGUACUUAAAUUUUUUUUAUUUUAAUUGUUAUUUAUAUCAUUUAGUUAAUUUAUAAUAAAUACGAAUAAAAAUAUUAUUUUUAAAUAAGAGUAAUUUAGUAAAGCUACGUUGCCGGGGGGUUACUACUGUAAGUGAGAUUUAUCAUUCUGUAAGAGAAAAUUAGCAAUCUCUCACUAGUUUUUAGUGGAUGUAAAAAUAUAUUUGAUAGUUUGUUUUAAAUUAGCAUUUGAAAGUGAAAUAAGUAAGAACGUGUUUGGUAGAUUGCUUGAAAAAAAAAAAAAAACUCUCUGUAGUCAUAUUACUGAGAUCAAACUAAUUUUAUUGUUAUGAAGAUGUUAUAACUUGAUAGAGGUACAACAAUAAAAAUUAUUUUCUUAACUUAUUGAAAAAUUAAAAUUAUGGACAGAGUUUAUAGAUCAGUUUGGGGCAGCUGCGCUGCCACCGCGCAGCUGCCCCCCAGGCCAAUUCUAGGGGAAUAUUCCCCUAAAAUUGGCCUGGGGAGCAGCUGUGCGGUGGCAGCGCAGCUGCCCCAAACAGGUCCUAUUUCAUAAAAUAUGAGCAGGAAUUUGAAUCAUAGGGCCCACUCCCAUUCCCGGGGAAGCAGGAAUUAGUCUCCUAUUUUCAGGAGUGAUGAUUUUGGUCUCGUACAAAAUUCAUAAACCCAGUUUUAUCCUUAAUUCAAAAAAAAAAAAUCCCAACAUAGCAAUCUCGUCGAUGAGAUCGAUUUGUAGCCUCGUUGACAACAACCGAAAGCCAUGACAUCGCGUCUCGAUCGUCGAAUGUAGCAGUCCGGUUGUCGACUUGCGCAUCACCAUCGCACGCAUCACUGUCGCACGCGAUGCAGAUCCUCAGCCUCAUGCAUACAUAGUCGUCAAUCAUCGCUGCCACUCACCAUCACCAAUUGUCCAGCCACCUCUGCCGCACGCCAGUCAUACUAUUUUGUUGUUAUAGUUAUUAAUAACAAAAUAAUGUUAUUUUGUUAUAUUUUGGUUGUAUUGAUUGUUGUUGUUGUUAUUGACAAUAGUUAUUAAUAACAAUAGAAAAAUGAUAAUAAUUCAUAAUUAUUACAAAAAAUAAUAAUAAUAACAACAACAAUUAAUUAACGGUAUUUAGUAACUUAAAACUAUUCAUGAUAUAAUAAACACAUUCAUGAUAAUACAACCCAUUCUAAUUCAGAUGAUUACAGUUUAAGUAAACAAUUUAUUUUAAUUCUCAUUGCCCAUUUCUUUUUCAGUCAUUCAGAUUCAUGGCCAUUCUUAUUUCUGUUUAGCAAAACGCACAAAAAAAAAAUUGGACACAAUCUAUUCCUGCCAAAUACAAAAUUAUGUCAUAAAAUGCCUUACGUAACAUUUUUUUUCAUGUUAUUAUUUUUGCAAAACAGAAAAUGACUGACCAUAAAAAUACCAAAUACCCUUUAUUCUUUCUCCAUUUUUCAAUCAACCUCGCACGUUUAUAAUGAAAUCAAUACAGGCUUAAUUGUAGGGAUGGCAAUGGCCAAAUCGAGUUAGGGCUAUGAGUCAGGUUCACCUCGUGCUCAACCAUGAUUUUUAUUUCAUUUUAUUUUUAUUUAUUUACUUUUUAGAUAUUGUCUUACAAUAGGUUUUCUAUUCUAAAUUCUUUAAUAAUAAUAUUGUUCUAUUUUUAUAUUACAUUUGGUUUUAAUGAAUUUAAUAAACUAUUUAACUUUAACAACAAUACAAUAUUUUGUAAUAAUUUAACCAAAUUAACAACAAAUAGAUUAAUUAAUUAUAAAAUAACUAAAUUAACAUGAGAAAGAAUAUUCUUAAGGAGCAGGUGAAUCAUAUGUGUGAUGUACAAGUAUUAAGUUUUUUUUUAAAGUAAAAAUUAAUUUAACAGUCCAGAGUAAAGUAAAGACUUUUUGCUGAGGGCCGAAUGUAAUUAAACCCUAAGGCCAUGUUUGGAUGUUAGAAUUAAUUAUAGGAUUGGAUUAAUUUUGGAUUAGAUUAAGGGGAACUAGAUUUGAAUUUAAUCCUAAAAUCAUAGGACUAAUAAUACUAAUUUACACUUGGGUUUAGAUAGGAUAAGAUCUAAAGAAAAAAAUUGUCCACUCAUGAGACUUUUAUUUAUAUCUUUUUUUCAUUUACACCUAAUAUUAAUUAAUUAAUUUAUUUUUAUUUAUGAUUUACUGAAAUUUUAUUUUUAUUUAUUAUCUAUGAAUUAAUUAAAUUGGCACUUUUACUUCUACUAACUCUUGAGAUUAAAUUUUCAUUACUUGUACAUUUAAUAAUUUAUCAAUAAAAUUAACCAUUUAAUAAUUUAUUACAUUAUUCGAUUGUACUAAAUUUAAUAACCACUAAUAUAUUAUUAAAAAUAAUCAUGAAAUGAAUAAUACCAUUAAUUAAUUGAUUUUAUAUAAUAUUUUUAAAUAUUUGAUAAAAAUUAAUUAAAUAUUUAGAUUGUUUUAUGCAUUUUUAUUUGGUUAUUAUAUUAUAACUACCCAAUAACUUAUUUACAAUAUAUUUAAUUUUCUUAUUAAUUACUUUUUAAAUUUAUUUUAAUUAUGAUUACAAAAUUUCAUGAAUCAUUGAUAUUUAUAUUUAAAUGUCAACUUAAAUGCUCUUUAAUAUUAUCUAAAUAUAAUUUAACAUAAUCUAAUCUGGUAUUAUACCAAAUAUAAGAUUAUAUAAUAUAAUUCAACUUAAUCUAACCCAACUCAAUUUAAUACAACCCUAAUAAUUAAUUUAAUCUAAUUUUACGUGCUAAACCCAACCUAACCCAAUCCUCAAUCAAAAUCUAAAAGUUUUGAAUGGGAUCAAUCCUGCCAAGUGCCAGCAGGACUUUUCUCUAUCCCUCUUUAGGCUAUUUUAUAGGAGAUUAAGACUUUGACACGGCAGCGAGCAAGUUAGUCAAGUCACGCCGACAGGCACAACCACACAAGUGUCAAAAUAGUAUUCAUUCUUUAUGAAAGUAACAAAUUUUCACUCCUCGAGUAAUGGUGGCCUUGCUGAAGAGAUGAGCCCUAUCCAGUGCAAAAGUUUUAUCUGAAACGUAAUUCAAUUUUAUAUUUUUUUUAAAUAAUGUUUAAUAAAGAGUACUCUCGGAAAAUCCUUCACUCCAGUAAAAGAUUCAUCUCAAGAAUGCGUGCUUGACUGUUUGCUUUCACACGGCCAUCUUAAAACAGAAUGACGCUUCGUCUGAAAAGGAUUGAAAUCCCUCUCCCCGAAAAUUUUGUGUACAUUUUGUUUGAGUAGAUAUCAUGAGCUCAAGCACUUCCUGGCCUUCGGCGUUUUUUAAUAUCAAAGCGUACAACCAGGAGGCCCGCUAUACCAGCUGUUGUCUUUUGACCAGCUUUUACAGGGCGAACACCUUGUGGGGUGCCUGCACAAACCGAAUCGAUGGUACAAUAAGUCAAACUUCAGUUAUUGAUAAAGACUUGCAUACAAAACUGGGAGCUGAUUUGAAGGAUUUGAAUAUGAUUAUGAAAAUUGGAGAGAAGGAUAUCUUAUGAAGUGAACACAGUAAAUAACAAUAAUGACAAUAAUAACGUAACUUAUACACAGUGACAAUACACCUUCCUAAGCAUAAUAAGCUCUAACAUAUCAGUUAUCAGUAUUUAUACCAAGUAAAAUUGCGCGUAUAUUCUUCACCAAAGCAAAAAUGAAAUUUGGUAACAGAUUCCACUAUCAACUGAUAUGCCAGUUUAUGCCAAGACAUCGUAAUUUCUUGGAGCACCUAGAAAAAUUAACUUACAAAGCGUGUUAGUGUUUUUAUUUGAAGGGAAAUGAACUGCAAUACCUGUUAAUAUGACAUCUCCUUCAAAAAGUGUCAUAAUUGAACUUAUGUGGCUAAUUAGAUAUGGUAUCUUAAAAAUCAUAUCCUUAGUGGAGCCUUUCUGUCGAAUCUCUCCAUCAACCUGCAGUGAAACACAUUUAAAGUUAAUCCACCCAGUGAAAAACAAAUUUGAAGCUUUGACAAAAGCCAUAAAGAAAUAUGAGAGUAAAGUGUAAUGAUUAUGCACCUUUAACCAUAGUUCCAAGUUGUGAGGGUCAGGCACUGCUGACUUUGGUAGCUGCAAAUAUAUUUUAAACAAGUCAAAAAGGAGUGUAUUUAGUAAACACAGAACAAAAUUGGCAAUAGAAAAUAAAAUUCUCUUCCUCUCUUCUUUUCUACUAGCAGAUACAAGUAAAGGGUGCACCAAGCGGAGGAUAAAUGGUAAACUCUUGUCUGCUUUGAAAGAAAAACACCAAUUUUCUUUUUCAAACUUCGACAAACAAGGUAUAACCGCUAUUCUCAAGCACAAUUAUUUCCUUCCCAUAGCCUAUCCCAAAGCCACAUUUGGUGCUGUCAAUGGCCUAACAAUAAACUGGUUCAAAAUUAGGCUUUCAAUAUCGGGCUUGAAAAUUGAUUACUGCACAACAUAAUUUCAGCAGAGACAGAAACAUCAAAGUACUCCAAUCAGUUUCUUACGACAGAGCUAAUUGGAGUGAAGGUGUCCUGCCCUUUAACCACUGUCCACGGAAGACAUGCAGACGGACAUAUUGGACAAAAAAUAAAUGACAAGAAAAUGCAGCAUUAUAAAUUGGAUCAAAUAAGAUAACUUAAUGUGCUCAUACACUUAUUGUUUCAUAAUGAAGCACACAAGUAGUAUCCAAUCUUCUGAUUAUAAGUAGGUAUUAUUUCAGAAUACAAUUGAAUAAUACUCGAUCCUCAUGUUCAACAGCAUAACACAUUACAAAGGAAUAAACCCAUCUUCUCUCAUAGGCAUAAAUUCUCUCCAAAUCGAAAAGAAAAAAAAAAUGUGCUAUUUAAUCGCCAAGACAUUGAUUCGGAACCUGUCUAAUUUCAUUACAAAACUUCCAAUCUGAGUAUUCUUUAAAUAUCUGAAAGAUUAAAAUUUAUCCAAAUAAUAAUCUCAUUAGCUGUUAUUAGAAAAUGUUGGGAUCCGGUUAUAAGAUUAUCCCCUUAGCGAUCCGGUUGUUAUUAUUCCAAUCCUCAAAAUUUCACCCAAAUUUGGUUAAGAAAUUGCUGAUAAGUCAUUUAAGGUGAUGUUUUCCGCUGCACUUUUUUAAUUGCAAGUGGUACGAGAGUAGACUGAUACCGAUCACCAGAGUCUUGGGUCGAGUGACUUAUCUCCUUAACUAAUUCUUUAUGUUCAGGACCUCGAUGCAAACUGAAAAUUUGGUAAAUGAAGCAAAAUCUAUGUUAAAAUGAUCUGCUUUAGAAUUUAAGGUUUCUUCAAAACCAAGGCGGAACGUUAGCCAAAAAUGUGCAUUUCUUUUCCUAAGUUAAAAUGAUUUGCCUCGUUUACUUAUUUAUUAUUGGCUCAAAUAAGCUUGACCAGUAAGCAUGAAGGAAGUUGAACAACAGCCAGUGAAGUAAGUUGUAUCAUCAUCUGGUGAAUCUGUUUUAGCCUGCUGCUGCACACGAGUAAUUUGAUAUGAUAACAAUUUAAAACUGCAAUGCAAUUUGGAAACAGAAGUUUUAAGGGGCACUAACAGCUUGCUUUUGGUAACUUUGUGCUGUUGAUGGCCCAGAGUUCCCACGGCUUCUUCUCUCAUUCACAAGAAGAAGUGCACAUUUUCAUGUAAAGAAUAGAAGCAGCACUCCCACAAAAAACGUAAUAAAGCAUUCGAUGACAAUGCCUGAUCCUAGAGCUGCAUUUAUAGGAAAAGGUUAGUGAGUACAAAUCUGUGAAAUGGAUAGUAAUUAAAAUGACAACUAUCACUUACUAUGAACUAACUCGGAACUCAUUGGCCUUCUAGUUUACGGUAGCCUCAGCGAAUAAAGGUAAUGAGAUUUUCUCAGUACAAUCUGGACGGCAACCAUAAUGUCCCAUAUCGUUUAAUUUCACUUUUAAAACAUCAUGUCCUUCACUACUCUAAAUGCAAAGAACAGAUGGCUGAUUCAAGAUCAUUGAUAUUUUCUUAUUGGUGUGCUCUGUGAUUGUGUUUUCCUCCAAAGUUACACUAUAAACUUCAAAGCUAAAAAACUUACUUGAUAAAACCUAACUACGCUGGCUUUAAUUGUGAAAUGUUUUGAGAUAGUAACGUAUGUUUGAAGAGGUUCCCACUGAAAACUUGUCUUUAGCUUCAGUUCGGUCGAAUUAAUAAGCUCUGCCGGUAUACUGGUUACAAGUAAUCCAUCAUUAACUUCCAUGGAAAAUGUGACUAAAAAUGCGAGACGUACCACCUGAAUCAUAAAGGAGAGUAAGCAGAAUCUGCAAUGAAUUAAAUAGAAAAAUGCUAUUAAACACAUCCGGAUAGUUAAAAGCACCUGGGUCCCCAAUGGAGAAAGCGAACUUGUUUGUUUCUCAAUCAAGUAUCUGCGACUCAUCUGCAUCAGUCAUCAGAACAAUAUAUUCAGGGACUUGAAUAAAUGGAGAAUCAUUAACUGGAUCCACAAAAACCAAAACCGCCAAAUCAUUUGUCCCAUUCUUGUUCCUGGCAGAGACUAGAAUUGUGUCCUCACCAUAAAAGUUUUUGUUUCUGAACUAAAAAAAUGAAAAAAAACGAGUCACUAGUAAGGUAUGAAUAAUGUAAAGCUUGAAAAGUCCAUAAGAGUAUUAAUCCAGGAGGUAAUACACGAGAUAUUAAAUCAUAUCGAGUGAGUGAAUAAUACUGGCUGUCACUUCCUUUGUGAAUGGAUGGCCCCCAUUCAAAAAAAUAUUUGCGCAGAGUACAAGAAUUUUAUAAAUUCCACUCUUUUCAGGAGUAUAAGUAACAUCAAAAGCUCUGGCCUGAACUUUCAGUUUGCCGGAAGACUGGAUUCAAGGGUUUUUUUUUUUUUUUUUUUUAAAAAAAAAAGCAUCACUCCAGAAAAUCUUAUGUAUGACUUCUCAAAGAAAAUAUGUGAAUUUGUUUCUUUCAGUGUUAGUUGCGUCAACAGACGGUGAGGGAGCAAUUUCUAUCUGGUCAAUAAUACCAUUAGUUGGUUCUAUUAAUCUUCCAUUUCUAAAAGAGUGCUGCUAAAUAUCAAGAACAACGAGAGAAAAGACGAGAGAAUUGCCUAUUCUCUCUUUCUUCUGUUAGCUUUUUUUUUUUCUCUCUCCUCCCAGCACAAGUUUCAUUCUCUCAUCCUUCUCUCGUUUUUCUUAAUACUUAACAUUUUCCUUUCUAAAACGAUAGGGCUGAAGUCUGUUAUAAUUAAUUAAUCUUUGAUAUGAUAUUAUAUUAUUGUAUGUAGUCAAAUAAUAACAAUGUAAUAUUAGCUUUAGACUGUUUAUAAGACUUUUAACUUAUAGAUGUUUCGGUGACAUAAUUUGUCAUCACAUACAUUAAUUCUGGAUCUGCCGAGCCAUGUCAUGUGGGAAUUAAAAAGAGAGAGCAGCACAGCAUACAAGAAAAUAUUCUGAAAUGGUGCCCAAAUUCAACAACCAAUAAACAAGCAAACUUGUAUCUUGUAAUUUUUAUUUUUAUUUUUUUGUUCUUUUAUCUAAGAAGCCGGUGGUGUCUAAUCCACCUUCAAAUACUUACUGUAUUAACAAUUAACUUAUUCGUAGUGUAUUUUAAAAGUGUAAGAUCCUAGAAAACAUACUGAAUUCAAUCAACAGUAUCUCCCCUACCAUUCAUUUGAGAACUUGUUUUAUCUAAGAAGCAGGUGGUGUCUAAUCCAAAUCAUAGGGUGCGUUUCGGAUUGAGGUUGGGUAGCUGUAGCUUAAAAGCUACAACACUAAAGUGUUUGGUAAACACUAACUGCUGUAGCUUUUAAGCUAUGUUGAUAUAAUUUUUCACUUGUAUAAUAUAAAAUUUAUUAUAUCUUUAAUAAUUUUGAUAAAAUUAUUAUUUAAAAUUUAUAUUUACUAUAUAUUAUUAACUUUUAUUUCAUAAUUACAGUUUUUUUUUCACAGCAGCUGUAGCUUUUAAGCUACAGCACCUCAAUCCCAAACGCACCCAUACUUGUCUAUCUCGGUACAGCUGCCCGAGAUGGGCCAAACUGCAAUGCUUUUCAAAAUUUCUCUGAAAUACUCGUCAAAAAAAAAAUAAAAAUCUCUGAAAUAUAUAGCUGUUACAGCUCACGCCCUAAAAAGUAACGUACAAUCAUAAAAAUAAAGACGAGCGAAGAUAAUUUUAGUGCACAUAUCUAUAUGUGAUGCAAAACGAUUCUCCUCGAACUCAUCCUAUAAAAUUAUCUUUACCAACAAUGCAUUCUUGGAUAAUCCGCUUGGAAAGUCUUCCUUUUCGUUCCUAAUUUUUCCUCUCUCUUCUAUCCUUUAACUCUAUUUAGCAACAUAAUAACUAGAAAUCAGAACCUUCAAUUCAUUCAUAGCCAGUGUUUUUACUUUUGAGGGACUGAGUUAACAUGGAGGGCAUACAACACAGAAUUGUUAAGGUGAACGGCAUUAACAUGCACAUUGCAGAGAAAGGUCAAGGUCCUGUGAUCCUCUUCCUUCACGGCUUUCCUGAGCUCUGGUACUCUUGGCGCCACCAGAUCACCGCCUUAGCUUCCCUUGGCUACAGAGCCGUGGCUCCGGACUUACGUGGGUUCGGUGACACGGAUGCGCCGCCUGACGUGACCAGCUACACAUGUUUCCACGUGAUUGGAGACCUCGUCGGACUCAUCGACACCGUGGCUCCCAAUGAUGAGAAGGUGUUUGUUGUGGGACAUGAUUGGGGUGCGAUCAUGGCAUGGUUCUUAUGUUUGUUUAGACCUGACAGAGUCAAAGCUUUAGUCAACUUGAGUGUCGUUUUUAAUCCUUUUGGUUCUAUCAACAACGUGAUUGAGGCUCUGAGGGCUUAUUAUGGUGACAAUUACUACAUGUGCAGAUUUCAGGUAACUCGGAUGUCCAUUUCUCAAACGAUAUGGCCGUCUAUUAAAAUUAAUUAAUCUUCCGUGUGUAGUACUUCAAAUUAUGAAGUCAUAUGAUUUAAUUAUACUGUUAAAUUAUAUGGUUUAAUAAUUUUUUUAAGUUUUAACAAAUUUAGGAGUCUAAAUUUGUAUAUUUGGGAUAGGAAAAAUAUCCACCGUCCACUCGUUUUUUACAUCUUUUUUAAAAAUACACAAUUCUUUCAUUUUUUGGCUGGAAUUCACCUAAAGUUACAUUUUGUUUCACUUUUCCACUUCCAUUUGGAAUCCGUUAAAAAAACUAACGGAAACUUAAAAAAAUGAUCAUUUUACCCCUCAAAAUGAAAAUUACAAUUUCACCUUAAAAAUUGUAAAAAAAUAAUCAAAUUAAAUCUAAUUAUUUUUUCUAUUGGUCAAUAAAGAAAUUAAUUUCACAACCAUCCAAUGUAGGUUUUUUUUUAAAUAUAUCUGUAAUUAGAAUGCUAAAUUAUAACAGUAGUAUUAAAAAUAGCUCAAUCUCGCAAACCAUCAAUUGAAUUUAAGAUAAGUAGAGUUUUAUUAUUCAUUGAGUUAUAAUCUCUAGUAGUUAAGAUUUUUUUUGUACUUCAUUAAUGUACCAAUAAUGAUAUUCAUUAUUAAAUCUGAUUAUUUUAUAUAUUUUUUAGGGUGAAAUUACAAUUUUCGUUUUGGGGGUAAAAUUGUCAUUUUUUAAAGUUUACGUUAGUUUUCUUAAAGGAUUCCAAACGGAAGUGGAAAAGUGAAACAAAAUGUAACUUUAGAUGGAUUCCAACAAAAAAAUGAAGGAAUCGUGUAUUUUUGAAAAAAGUGUAAAAAACGGGUGGACGGUGGAUAUUUUUCCUUUGGAAUAUUUUCAUAUACGAGAAUUGAUCUCGCUCAAGAUAUUGAAUUUAUUAAAAUUCAAAAAAAUUAUUAAAACAUAUGAUUGGAUAGCAUUAUGCUAUUAUAUUAUUAAAUCACAUGGUUUAAUAACUUUUAUAGAUAUUAUACUAUUAAACUGUAUGUUUAAGUAACUUUCUCAAACUUUAAUAAAUUCAGGAUAAAAAUUAAAAUAUUUGUGUAUGCGCGCGCGAUAUAUAUGAUAUUAUGUUAUAUUAUUGUAUGCAGGAGCCUGGAGAGAUUGAAGCAGAGUUUGCGCAGAUUGGUACUGAGACGGUUAUUAAGGAAUUCUUGACAUUUCGGACUCCGGGACCGAUUAUUUUGCCUAAAGGCAAAGGAUUUGGGCAUCCACCAGUUGCUCCAAUGGCAUUACCCAGUUGGUUGUCUGAGGAAGAUGUUAAGUAUUUCACCGCCAAAUUUGACAAGAAAGGCUUUACCGGAGGAAUCAACUAUUAUAGAAAUAUUAAUCUGUAAUGCUCCCUUAUUCCUCACUCUCUACGUUUUUUUUUUUUUGUUAAAAGGAAGGCUAAUAUUGCAUUAACACAAAGAAGAAAAGAGAUACAAUAGUUCUGAAGGGUAUGAACCCAUCCACACAAUAGUUUCACAUUUUUCCAAAGCUAAUUUAGUUAAAGAAUGGGCAAUGGUAUUACAAGAUCUAUGGGCAUACUGAAUCUUAACAUGAUCAAAUCCCUUAAUUAAGUUCUGAAUUUCAGAUAUUACCCAAAAAAUUUCACAUCUGCUGCCCUGCAUGUUGUUUACAAGAUUGACCACCUCUUGAGAAUCUGAUUCAACCAUCAAACUCCUUGCUCCUGCUUGAGCUGCUAUCUGAAUUCCCCACUCCAUUGCUUCGGCCUCCACAAAAGCUACAUCACCAUUAAACUUAGAGAGCUUAAUUGCAGCUGCCAAAACAUUUCCAGCUUCAUCUCUACAUUUGAUACAUAGCUUUUUAAUUUUGUUAACUUUCAAUUGUGAUAUGAAAUUAUAAGCUAUUAAGUAAAAUUGCAUAUUACAACAUGCAUAUUUAUUAAAGGAAAAUGUUUGGUGUAGAGAAGCACGAGAGAAAGACGAGAGAAAUAAUGAAAAAAAGUAUAGAGAGAGAGUGAGUGGGUAGAGAGAGAGAGAGAGAGAGAGAGAGCAAAAUUCUCUCGUCUUUCUCUCAUGCUUCUCUCUCUCUAGCACUACCCUUUAUUAAAUACUAUCAACUUUUAAUUUUCCUUUCACAGCAUCACACUAUCAAACGAAACUAACUAUUGUGAUUUUAAUGUCAACCUGAAGCAAAAUAGUUUCAAAUAUAUCCUCUAUAUAUAUAUAUAGUAAAUCCUUUUCGUCAUUGCAGGAGCCAGGAACUUCUUGCACCGUGGGCGGGGAGUCGAUUACAAAUUCCGACCAAGUUCAUUAUAGGCGACCUGGACCUGGUUUAUCAUAUGCCAGGGGUGAAAGAAUACAUACACAAAGGUGGGUUCAAAAGAGAUGUGCCAUUGUUGGAGGAAGUAGUGAUAAUGGAAGGAGUUGGGCACUUCAUUAAUCAAGAAAAGGGUGAUGAGAUUAGCAAGCACAUUUAUGACUUCUUCAACAAGUUCUGAUUAGUUCUUUGCAUCUUCAUUCAUAUUUCCGCUUGGGUGUCUUUUUGUUUUAAUAAAGUUGCUGGGAUGUUCUUGUGCCGGCCUGUUCUAGUUUUUGAUUCACUAUAUACCAAGCUAUUAGUGGCUUCGACUUGUAAUUUCCGUAUUGUUGGAACAAUCAAAUAAUUUAGAGUGCCUUUGGUAUAUAAAGUUAUCUAAUAUAUAGAUAUUGAUAAAAGAAAUAUAUAUAAUUUCACAAACUAGUACAUGUAUUUAUAUAGUGUUAUAUAAAGUCAUCUUAAAAGUUUAAUAUUUGCAUUCUCUUUAAUUUUUUUUCUCAAUGUAAAUUCUAUAAAUAUUGUAUAAUAUACAAAUCAUUAUCCCAAACAAUCAUUAAAAAAAAAAUUGUUUCAUCAUGAAUUUUUAAAGCAGCAUAGCAUAUAUUGUUUAAAAUAUGGAAAUAAUUGUUACUAUGUAGAGCUAAGUUUCGUAAGAUAGUAUCUAGAAAAAAUUAAUCACUUAUUAUAAUGUUUACUUCAAUCUUAUUUAUAAUUUAAUCAAAUUAGGACUAAAUUUUUUUAUAACUAUAUAGAGAUUAUUCUUAUAUAGAGUACUACUAUAAUGAAAUUUUACUAUAAAGUAAAAUAUAUGUAAGCCCAUCUUUUGGUCUUAUUUAAUUUGUAUUAAAGUUUUAAAUGAAAAGAAGAAACGUGAGGACUAUGAUAAUUAUUAUGGAAAUAAAACAAAAAAGUUGAGCCCAAGUUUAAUUUACAAUGGAAGAAUACGAGAAAUAACAAAAAGGUUGUUUUCUACUCUUGUUCACAAAUUGUGCAUUUACUUCUUGCAUUAGAGAAUUGGAAUUAUUAACAAGUUUAUUUCACAAAAUGAGAGCGGAAAUCAGAAUACUCACCCCAAUUUGGGAAUGAAAAUUCUCAGGGGAUGGGAAUUAGAAUUAGAAAAAAACCCAGAUUAGGUUGGAGGCUUAAAGCCCCGGCACGCAUAGAUUGAGCCUAAAUAUGGGCCGCAAAAUUUAAAGUCCGCACAAGUUGGGUUAUGUCAUAAGAUGCCUUACAUAACAUUUUUUUUUUUACUGACCAUAAAAAUACCAAAUACCCUUUAUUCUUUUCUCAAAUUUUCAAUCAACCUCGUAGGGUUAUGAUGAAAUCAAUACAUGCUUAAUUGUGGGGAUGUCAAUGGCCAAAUCGGGCUAGGGCUAUGAGUCAGGGUCACCUCGAAAAUUUUGUGUACAUUUUGCUUGAAAUGCAGUUGCAGUGGAGUGGACAUCAUAAGAUCAAGCACUUCCUGGCCUUCGGCGUUUUUCAAUAUCAAAGUGUACAUCCAGGAGACCCGUUAUACCAGCUGUUAUCUUUUGACCAACUUUUACAGGGCCAACGCCCUGUGGAGUGCCUGCACAAACCGAAUCAAUAGAACAAUGUCAAACUUCAAUUAUCCAUAAAGACUUGCAUCCAAAACUGGGAGUGGAUUUGAAUAUGAUUAUGAAAAUUGGCGAGAAGGAUAUCUUAUGAAGUGAACACAGUAAAUAACAAUAAUGACACUAAUAACGUAACUUAUACACAGUGACAAUACACCUUCAUAAGCAUAAUAAGCUCUAACAUAUCAGUUAUCAGUAUUUAUACCAAGUAAAAUUGCGCGUAUAUGCUUCACCAAAGCAAAAAUGAAAUUUGGUAACAGAUUCCACUAUCAACUGAUAUGCCAGUUUAUGCCAAGACAUCAUAAUAUCUUGAAGCACCUAGAAAAAUUAACUUAUAAAGUAUGCUAGUGUUUUUAUUUGAAGGAAAAUGAACUGCAAUACCUGUUAAGUGUUAACAUGACAUCUCCUUGAACAAGUGUCACAAUUGAACUUAUGUGGCUAAUUAGAUAUGGUAUCUUAAAAAUCAUAUCCUUUGUGAAGCCUUUCUGUCGAAUCUCUCCAUCAACCUGCAGUGAAACACAUUUAAAGUUAAUCCACCCAGUGAAAAACAAAUUUGAAGCUUUGACAAAAGCCAUAAAGAAAUAUGAGAGUAAAGAGUAAUGAUUAUGAACCUUUAACCAUAGUUCUAAGUUGUGAGGGUCAGGCACUGCUGACUUUGGUAGCUGCAAAUAUAUUUUAAACAAGUCAAAAAGGAGUGUAUUUAGUAAACACAGAACAAAAUUGGCAACAGAAAAUAAAAUUCUCUUCCUCUCUUCUUUUCUACUAGCAGAUACAAGUAAAGGGUGCACCAAGCGAAGGAUAGAUGGUAAACCCUUGUCUGCUUUGAAAGAAAAAGACCAAUUUUCUUUUUCAAACUUCGACAAACAAGGUAUAGUUGUCAUUUUGAAGCACAAUUAUUUUGUUUUCCAUAACCUAUCCCAAUACCACAUUGGUGCUGUGAAUGGCCAAACAAAGAACUGGUGCAAAGAGUAAACCAAACUGUUUAAAAUUAAUUUUUCAAUAUUGAGCCUGAAAAUUGAGUACAACACAGCAUAGUUUCAGCAGAGAUAGAAACAUCAAAGUACUUCUUUCAGUUUCUUUCGAAAGAGCUAAUUGGUGUGAAGGUGUCCUGCCCUUUAGCCACUGGCCAUGGAAGACAUGCAGACGGACACAAUGGACAAAAAAUAAAUGAUAAGAAAAUACAGCAUUAUAAAUUGGAUGAAAUAAGAUAACUUAAUGUGGUCAUACACUUAUUGUUUCAUAAUGAAGCGCACAAGUAGUAUCCAAUCUUCUGAUUAUAAGUUGGUGUUGUUUCAGAAUACAAUUGAAUAAUACUUGAUCCUCAUGUUCAACAGCAUAACACAUUACAAAGGAAUAAACCCAUCUUCUCUCAUAGGCAUAAAUUCUCUCCAAAUCCAAAAGAAAAAAAAAUGUGUUAUUUAAUCGCCACGAAACACAACCGCAAAUAUUAGACAUUGAUUCGGAACCUGUCUAAUUACAUUACAAAACUUCCAAUUUGAGUAUUCUUUAAAUAUCUGAAAGAUUAAAAUUUAUCUAAAUAAUAAUCUCAUUAGCUGUUAUUAGAAAAUGUUGGGAUCCGGUUAUAAGAUUAUCCCCUUAGCGAUUCGGUUGUUAUUAUUCCAAUCCUCAAAAUUUCACCCAAAUUUGGUUAAGAAAUUGCUGAUAAGUCAUUUAAGGUGAUAUUUCCCGCUGCACUUUUUCAAUUGCAAGUGGUACGAGAGUAGACAGAUACCGAUCACCAGAAUCUUGGGUCGAGUGACUUAUCUCCUUAACGAAUUCUUCAUGUUCAGGACCUCGCUGCGAACUGAAAAUUUGGUAAAUGAAGCAAAAUCUAAGUUAAAAUGAUCUGCUUUAGAAUUUAAGGUUUCUUCAAAACCAAGGCGGAACGUUAGCAAAAAAUGUGCAUUUCUUUUCCUAACUAGAAGAUCUUGUACUGAUAUGAAUGACUUGCCUCGUUUACUUAUUUCUUAUUGGCUCAAAUAAGCUUUGACCAGCAAGCAUGAAGAAAGUUGAACAACAGCCAGUGAAGUAAGUUGUAUUAUCAUCUGGUGAAUCUGUUUUAGCCUGCUGCUGCACACGAGUAAUUUGAUAUGAUAACAAUUUAAAACUACAAUGCAAUAUGGAAACAGAAGUUUUAAGGGGCACUAACAGCUUGCAUUUGGUAACUUUGUGCUGUUGAUGGCUCAGAGUUCCCACGACUUCUUCUCUCAUUCACAAGAAGAAGUGCACAUUUUCUUGUAAAGAACAGAAGCAGCACUCUCACAAAAAACGUAAUAAAGAAUUCGACGAUAAUGCCUGAUCCUAGAGCUGCAUUUAUAGGAAAAGGUUAGUGAGUACAAAUCUGUGAAAUGGAUAGUAAUCAAAAUGACAACUAUCACUUAUUAUGAACUAACUCUGAACUCAUUGGCCUUCUAGUUUACGGUAGCCUCAACGAAUAAAGGUAAUGACAUUUUCUCAGUACAACCUGGACAGCAACCAUAAUGUCCCAUAUCGUUUAAUUUUACUUUUAAAAGAUCAUGUCCUUCACCACUCUAAAUGCAAAGAACAGAUGGCUAAUUCAAGAUCAUUGAUAUUUUCUUUGUGGUGUGCUCUAUGAUUGUGUUUUCCUUCAAAAUUAUACUAUAAACUUCAAAGCAAAAAAUGCACUUGAUAAAAGAGUUGUUGUGCUCUUUACCAAGCUCUUAUGAGCACCUGGUUGACAUUCUCAUGUAUGGGAGACAGUCCCUCUCGAUGGUGGAUGUGAAAGAGACAUUGAGUUUCAAGGCUGCAACCAAGAAAGAAGCAAGUCAUGGGGAAUGAUUGACAGUUAGAGGGAGGCCAGGAAAGAGAGAAAAUGGUAAAGGAAAGAAGAAAAGAUCCAAGUCCAGACCCAAGAAUAUGAAGUGCUUCCAUUGGCAUAAGGAAGGUCACUUCAAGAAAGACUGUCCAUAGAAGAAUUAUAAAAGCAAAGAAACAAAAGAGAAGAUUGGUGAUGCUGUUGUUGUAUCAGAAGGACAAGAAUCUGAUGGUUAUGACUCUACUGGAGUUCUCAUAGUCUCUGAUGGUGCAUUUAGAGGUAAUUGGGUAUUAGAUUAUGGUUGUUCAUUUCAUAUGUGCCCUAAUAAAACCUUCUUUAAGAACUAUGAAACCUAUGAUGAAGGGAUAGUUGUAAUGAGAAAUGAUGCUAGUUGUAGGGUAAUUGGCAGGGGCACCAUUAAACUGAAAAUGCUUAAUGGCACAAUAAGAAAAUUAACAAAUGUUAGACAUGUCCCUGAUUUAAAGAGAAACUUGAUUUCUCUCAGCAUGCUUGACAAAAUGGGGUGUGUUAUCAAGCUCGAGUCAGGUACUUUAAAGGUGUUGAAAGGGUCUAUGGUGUUGAUGAAAGGAAACUUAGACAAUGGCCUGUAUGUGCGCCAGAGGUCUGUAGUCACAGGAGAUGUUGGAGUUUCAAACCAGAAUCUAAACAAAACUUUAUUGUGGCGCUUUAGAUUAGGCCAUAUGAGUGAGAGAGGCUUGAGAGAACUAUCAAAACAAGGAGUCUUAGGUGAAGAUAAAAUAGAGCCCUUGGAAUUUUGUGAGGAGUGUGUCCUAGGCAAAUCCUCAAGAGUUAAAUUCAGCACUGGUGCACAUAUUUCAAGAGGAACUCUAGAAUACAUACAUGCUGAUCUGUGGGGACCUGCACAGAUAGCAUCCUUAGGAGGGGCAAGGUACUUUCUAUCUUUAAUUGAUGACCAUUCCAGAAUGGUUUGGGUGUAUGUGCUGAAAAACAAAGAUGAAGUGUUAAGAAUUCAAAAACUGAAAAACAUUGAUUGAAACUCAGACCAACAGGAAGGUUAAGAAACUCAGAACUGAUACUGGUUUAGAAUUCUGCAACAAGAGGUUUGAAUAUUUUUAGAGCAAGCAUGGAGUCAUGAGGCACAGAACAGUAAGAUAUAUAUCUCAGCAAAAUAGAUUAGCUGAGAGGAUGAACAGAACCUUAGUUAAUAAAGUAAGGUGUAUGCUCAUUUAUUAUAAGCUACCCAUGUCCUUGUGGGCUGAGGCUCUAUCAACAACUUGUCACAUUGUGAACAGAAGCCCUUCAACUGGAAUUAACUUCAAAACACUAUUUGAAUUUUGGUAUGGUAAACCAGCAGAUUAUUCCAGUUUAAAGAUCUUUGGCUGUCCAGCAUAUGCUCACAUCAAACAAGGAAAAUUAGAGCCCAGGGCAUUGAAGUGUGUAUUUCUUGGUUACCUUGAAGGGGUAAAAUGGUAUAAACUAUGGUGCACAUACAUGAAACCUCCAAAAGCAAUCAUAAGCAGAUAUAUAGUAUUUAAUGAAGCUGAGAUGCUCCAACACUCAGUAUCUUUAAAGACUACAAAUGUAGAACUGGAAGAUAAAGAUGAGAGAUCUUAUCUUGAGGUGGAGCUGUCAAACUCAAACCAGAAACAGAAAUCAAGAUCAGAGGCUGGAGAUGUAAUAGACAUGGAAAUACAUGAUACUGAGAAUGAAACAGCAAGUGAUCAGGGGAGAAGUGAAGAUUAUCAGUUAGUGAUGGACAAAGGAAAGAGAGUAAUAAAACCUCCUAGAAGAUAUGCAUAUGCAGAUCUAAUUUCAUUUGCAUUAACAGCAGUGCAUGAAAUAGCAACAGAUGAACCUAGAACAUAUUCAGAAGCUAUUAACAGUGAUAAGGCAGAAGAAUGGAUCAAGGCUAUGGAUGAGGAAAUGAUGUCUUUGAAAAAGAAUCACACCUGGAAUCUCAUUGAAAGACUAGCAAACAAGAAGGUAGUAGGGUGCAAAUGGAUCUACAGGAUAAAGGAAAGAAUACCAGAUGUUGAGCCACAAAGAUACAAAGCCAGGUUGGUUGUAAAAGGCUUCACUCAGAAAGAGGGGGUUGACUUUACAGAAGUUUUCUCCCCAGUGGUGAGAUAUGCUUCCGUGAGGAUCCUGUUAUCUCUAGUGGUUGUACAAGACAUGCAUCUUGAACAGAUGGAUGUGAAGACUGCCUUCCUGUAUGGUGAAAUAGAUGAGAUGAUAGUGAUGUCACAACCUGAAGGGUAUGAGGAUCCAGAAAAGGCUGAUCAUGUAUGUCAUCUAAAGAAGUCAUUAUAUGGACUAAAACAGUCUCCAAGACUGUGGUACCUAAGAUUUGACAGGUUUAUGUCAGAUCAUGGUUUUCAAAGGAGCAGUUUUGACUGCUGUGUCUACUUUAAAACCAUAAAAGAUGGUGACAAGAUCUACCUACUGCUCUAUGUAGACGACAUGUUAAUAGCUUGUAAUGAAAUGGAGUUCAUAAAUGAAUUGAAACAGCAGCUGAGCAAUUCAUUUGAGAUGAAGGAUCUGGGUGCUGCAAAGAAGAUCCUUGGUGUUCAGCUGAAGAGAGACAGAAAGAAUGGUAUCCUAAGCCUAACACAACAAAAAUACAUCAGGAAAGUACUUGAGAAAUUCAAUAUAGAUAAAUGUAAACCAGUACAGACUCCAUUGCCCUUUCAUUUCAGACUGUCCUGUCAACAGUAUCCAAACUCUGAUGCUGAUAAAGCUGAAAUGAAUAAAUUUCCAUAUUCAAGUACUAUUGGAUGUUUGAUGUACGCAAUAGUCCUGACUAGGCCUAAUCUCUCUCAUGCAGUGAGCGUAGUAAGCAAGUAUAUGGCAAACCCAAGGAAAGAUCAUUGGAGGGUUGUAGUAUGGAUCUUCAGAUACCUUGCUGGUACAACUUAUUAUGGUUUGAUCUAUGGAGCUGAGAAAUAUGCAGAGGUUAGUGUGGAGGGUUAUGUAGAUGCAGAUUAUGCUGGAGAUCUGGAUAAAAGAAGGUCUUUAACAAGUUUUCUGUUUAUGCGUAAUGGUUGCACCAUAAACUGGAAGGCUUCACUGCAGAGUGUUGUUGCUCUGUCAACAACUGAGGCAGAAUAUACAACAGCUGCAGAAGCAAUCAAAGAAGCUAUUUGGCUCAGAGGGAUGGUGACAGAAUUGGGAUUUGAACAAAAACAAAUUACAGUUCAUUGUGACAGCCAAAGUGCUAUAUGUCUGAGCAAGAACCAGAUACAUCACGAAAAGACCAAGCAUUUUGAUAUCAAGCUUUACUUUGUCAGAUUGGAAAUAUCAAAGGGUGUGAUUAAGCUGGCUAAAAUACACACUGAUAGCAACAUUGCUGACAUGCUCACCAAAGCUGUACCAGGAGCUAAGCUUGAGUUCUGCUUGAACUCAGCUGACAUCUGCAGGGUAUAGACUGCAGAAAAGAAGUGGAAUGAUGAAUCUGAAGAAUGGAUGAUUUGAGUUCAAGGUGAAGAAUGUUGAAUAUGAACUACAAAUCAGUUUAUAGUUAAGUGCGACAAGUCGGUUGAAGAUUUGUCAAUACCAUGACAUGCCGGUUGACAAUCCUGAGAAGGGUAUAUGACAAGAAUAUCAUGUCAUCUGUGUGUGCAAAGAAGACAUGUGAUUUCGCAUGUGACUCACUUAAACAAAACGGCUACUUGAACUGUCGUUUUAUUACUUCGAAUAACAAAGAUGAAGACACGUGUGAUGGAGGCUUAUCAAAAGUCUGUUAAGCCGUUAAUUAGUGCGGGAAGCUGCUGAUCUUCGUCACUGAACACAGGGGAAGCUUGCUGGUGAUUGAGAGUCCAUCUUGAUCGAGCAUUGCUUAUAUAUACAACUAGGUAUUCUGGAAUAAGUCAUGUUUUUCAUGUGUGGUUAGCUUCUCUGAAUAAGCUUGUACUUUGUAAGACACUCAUUCAAUACAAACUUGGAUUCAUCCUUUCACAGUGGACGUAGGCUUCCAUAGCCGAACCACUAUAAGCUUUCUUUGGGUUAUUCUUUCUGUUCUUAAAUUCUUUCAUUGUUUUGCUUUGAUUGUUGGAUUGUUUAAGCAUCCUGUAACUGAGUAUAGAUCACCUUAGUUUUAGAUACAAGAACCCUUUUUUGAGUGGGUUUUGGUGUGCAGUUAUCAGUUCUUUACUGGUCUUUGGCACAACAAGAACAAUAUAUUCAGGGACUUGAAUAAAUGGAGAAUCAUUAACUGGAUCCACAAAAACCAAAACCGCCAAAUCAUUUGUCCCAUUCUUGUUCCUGGCAGAGACUAGAAUUGUGUCCUCACCAUAAAAGUUUUUGUUUCUGAACUAAAAAAAUGAAAAAAAAAACGAGUCACUAGUAAGGUAUGAAUAAUGUAAAGCUUGAAAAGUCCAUAAGAGUAUUAAUCCAGGAGGUAAUACACGAGAUAUUAAAUCAUAUCGAGUGAGUGAAUAAUACUGGCUGUCACUUCCUUUGUGAAUGGAUGGCCCCCAUUCAAAAAAAUAUUUGCGCAGAGUACAAGAAUUUUAUAAAUUCCACUCUUUUCAGGAGUAUAAGUAACAUCAAAAGCUCUGGCCUGAACUUUCAGUUUGCCGGAAGACUGGAUUCAAGGGGUUUUUUUUUUUUUAUUUUAAAAAAAGCAUCACUCCAGAAAAUCUUAUGUAUGACUUCUCAAAGAAAAUAUGUGAAUUUGUUUCUUUCAGUGUUAGUUGCGUCGACAGACAGCGAGGGAGCAAUUUCUAUCUGGUCAAUAAUGCCAUUAGUUGGUUCUAUUAAUCUUCCAUUUCUAAAACGAUAGGGCUGAACUCUUCGAUAUGAUAUUAUAUUAUUGUAUGUAGUCAGAUAACAACAAUGUAAUAUUAGCUUUAGACUGCUUAUAAGACUUUUAACUUAGAGAUGUUUCUGUGACUAAUUUAUUAUCACAUACAUUAAUCCGGAUCUGCCGAGCCAUGUCAUGUGGGAAUUAAAAACAGAGAGCAGCACAGCAUACAAGAAAAUAUUCUGAAAUGGUGCCCAAAUUCAACAACCAAUAAACAAGCAAACUUGAAUCUUGUAAUUUUUUUUUUAUUCUUUUAUCUAAUAAGCCGGUGGUGUCUAAUCCAAAUCAUACUUGUCUAUCUCAGUACAGCUGCCCGAGAUGGGCCACAUUGCAAUGCUUUUCAAAAUUUCUCUGAAAUAGUUGUAUUUUCCGACACGUAAUUGAAUGAGUUUCAAUUCAAUUAAAUGAUGAUGUUACAGCUCACGCCCUAAAAAGUAACGUACAAUCAUAGAAAUAAAGACGAGGGAAGAUAAUUUUGGUGCACGUAUCUAUAUGUGGGUGAUGCAAAACGAUUCUCCUAGUCCUCAUCCAAUAAAAUUAUAUUCUUAGAUAAUCCGCUUGGAAAGUCUUCCUUUUCAUUCCUAAUUUUUCCUCUCUUCUAUCCUCUAGCUUUAGUUAGCAACAUAAUAACCCGAAAUCAGAACCUCUAAUUCACUCGUAGGCAGUGUUUUACUUUUGAGGAACUGAAUUAACAUGGAGGGCGUACAACACAGAACUGUUAGGGUGAAUGGUAUUAACAUGCACAUUGCAGAGAAAGGUCAAGGUCCUGUGAUUCUCUUCCUUCACGGCUUUCCUGAGCUCUGGUACUCUUGGCGCCACCAGAUCACCGCCUUGGCUUCCCUUGGCUACAGAGCCGUGGCUCCGGACUUACGUGGGUUCGGUGACACGGAUGCGCCGCCUGACGUUACCAGCUACACAUGUUUCCACGUGAUUGGAGACCUCGUCGGACUCAUCGACACUGUGGCUCCCAAUGAUGAGAAGGUGUUUGUUGUGGGACAUGAUUGGGGUGCGUUCAUGGCAUGGUUCUUAUGUUUGUUUAGACCUGACAGAGUCAAAGCUUUAGUCAACUUGAGUGUCGUUUUUAAUCCUUUUGGUUCUAUCAACAACGUGAUUGAGGCUCUGACGGCUUAUUAUGGUGACAAUUACUACAUGCGCAGAUUUCAGGUAACUCGGAUGUACAUUUCUCAAACGAUAUGGCCGUCUAUUAAAAUUAAUUAAUCUUCCGUGUGUAGUACUUAAAAUUAUUAAGACAUAUGAUUUAAUUAUACUGUUAAAUCAUAUGGCUUAAUAAUUUUUUCAAGUUUUAACAAAUUUAAGAGUCUAAAUUUGGAUAUUUGGGAUAUUUUCAUAUAUGAGCAUUGAUCUCGCUCAAGAUAUUGAAUUUAUUAAAAUUCGAAAAAAUUAUUAAAACAUAUGAUUGGAUAACAUUAUGCUAUUAUAUUAUUAAAUUACAUGGUUUAAUAACUUUUAUAGAUAUUAUACUAUUAAACUGUAUGUUUAAAUAAUUUUCUCAAACUUUAAUAAAUUCAGGAUCAAAGAUUAAAAUAUUUGUGUAUGUGCGCGCGCGCUAUAUAUGAUAUUAUAUUAUAUUAUUGUAUGCAGGAGCCUGGAGAGAUUGAAGCAGAGUUUGCGCAGAUUGGUACUGAGACGGUUAUUAAGGAAUUCUUGACAUUUCGGACUCCGGGUCCGAUUAUUUUGCCUAAAGGCAAAGGAUUUGGGCAUCCACCAGAUGCUCCAAUGGCAUUACCCAGUUGGUUGUCUGAGGAAGAUGUUAAGUAUUUCACCGCCAAAUUUGACAAGAAAGGCUUUACUGGAGGAAUCAACUAUUAUAGAAAUAUUAAUCUGUAAUGCUCCCUUAUUCCUCACUCUCUACAUUUGAUACAUAGCUUUUUUAUUUUGUGAAUUUUCAAUUGUGAUAUGAAAUUAUCAGCUAUUAAGUAAAAUUGCAUAUUACAACAUGCAUAUUUAUUAAAUACUAUCAACUUUUAAUUUUUCUUUCACAGCAUCACACUAUCAAACGAAACUAACUAUUGUGAUUUUAAUGUCCACCUGAAGCAAAAUAGUUUCAAAUAUAUCCUCUAUAUAUAUAGAGAGAGAGAGUAAAUAUCCUUUUCGCCAUUGCAGGAACCAGGAACUUCUUGCACCGUGGGCGGGGAGUCGAUUACAAAUUCCGACCAAGUUCAUUAUAGGCGACGUGGACCUGGUUUAUCAUAUGCCAGGGGUGAAAGAAUACAUACACAAAGGUGGGUUCAAAAGAGAUGUGCCAUUGUUGGAGGAAGUAGUGAUAAUGGAAGGAGUUGGGCACUUCAUUAAUCAAGAAAAGGGUGAUGAGAUUAGCAAGCACAUUUAUGACUUCUUCAACAAGUUCUGAUUAGUUCUUUGCAUCUUCAUGCAUAUUUCCGCUUGGGUGUCUUUUUAUUUUAAUAAAGUUGCUGUAUUUUAAUAAAGUUGCUGGGAUGUUCUUGUGCCGGCCUGUUCUAGUUUUUGAUUCAUUAUAAACCAAGCUAUUAGUGGCUUCGACUUGUAAUUUCCGUAUUGUUGCAACAAUCAAAUAAUUUAGAGUGCCUUUGGUAUAUAAAGUUAUCUAAUAUAUAGAUAUUGAUAAAAGAAAUAUAUAUAAUUUCACAAACUAGUACAUGUAUUUAUAUAGUGCUAUAUAAAGUCAUCAUAAAAAUUUAAUAUUUGCAUUCUCUUUAAUUUUUUUUUCUCUCAAUAUAAAUUCUAUAAAUAUUGUAUAAUAUAUAAAUCAUUGUCCCAAACAACUAUUACAAAAAAAAAAAAAUUGUUUCAUCAUAAAUUUUUAAUGCAACAUAGCAUGAAUCGUUUAAAAUAUAGAAAUAAUUAUUACUAUGUAGAGUUAAGUUUCGCAAGAUAAUAUCUAGAAAAAAUAAUCACUUAUUAUAAUGUUUAUUUCAUUCUUAUAUAUAAUUUAAUCAAAUUAGGACUAAAUUUUUUUAUAACUAUAUGAAGAUUAUUCUUAUAUAGAGUACUACUUAAUGAAGUUUUACUAUAAAGUAAAAUAUAUGUAAGCCCAUCUUUUUGGUCUUAUUUAAUUUGUAUUAAAGUUUCAAAUGAAAAGAAGAAACGUGAGGACUUUGAUAAUUAUUAUGCAAAUAAAACAAAAAAGUUGAGCCCAAGUUCAAUUUACAAUGGAAGAAUACGAGAAAUAACAAAAAAGUUGUUUUCUACUCUUGUUCACAAAUUGUGCAUUUACUUCUUGCAUUAGAAAAUUGAAAUUAUUAACAAGUUUAUUUCACAAAAUGAGAGUGGGAAUUGAAAUAGUAGGACUUACCCCAAUUUGGGAAUGAAAAUUCUUAGAGGAUGGAAAUUAGGAUUGGAAAAAAGUCCAGACUGGGUCGUAGGCUUAAAGCCAUGGCACGCAGAGGCUGAGCCUGGAUAUGGGCCACAAAAUUUAGAGUCCGCACAGGUUGGGUUAUGUCAUAAGAUGCCUUACAUAACAUUUUUUUUUCAUUUUGUUAUUUUUGCAAAACAGAAAAUGGCUGACCAUAAAAAUACCAAAUACCCUUUAUUCUUUUCUCAAUUUUUCAAUCAACCUCGUAGGGUUAUGAUGAAAUCAAUAGAGGCUUAAUUGUGGGGAUGUCAAUGGCCAAAUCGGGCUAGGGCUAUGAGUCAGGGUCACCUCGAAAAUUUUGUGUACAUUUUGCUUGAAAUGCAGUUGCAGUGGAGUGGACAUCAUAAGUUCAAGCACUUCCUGGCCUUCGGCGUUUUUCAAUAUCAAAGUUUACAUCCAGGAGGCCCGUUAUACCAGCUGUUAUCUUUUGACCAACUUUUACAGGGCCAACGCCCUGUGGAGUGCCUGCACAAACCGAAUCGAUGGUAAUAAGUCAAACUUCAGUUAUUCAUAAAGACUUGCAUACAAAACUGGGAGCUGAUUUUAAGGAUUUGAAUAUGAUUAUGAAAAUUGGAGAGAAGGAUAUCUUACGAAGUGAACACAGUAAAUAACAAUAAUGACACUAAUAACGUAACUUAUACACAGUGACAAUACACCUUCCUAAGCAUAAUAAGCUCUAACAUAUCAGUUAUCAGUAUUUAUACCAAGUAAAAUUGCACUAAUAUUCUUCACCAAAGCAAAAAUGAAAUUUGGUAACAGAUUCCACUAUCAACUGAUAUGCCAGUUUAUGCCAAGGCAUCAUAAUAUCUUGAAGCACCUAGAAAAAUUAACUUAUAAAGUAUGUUAGUGUUUUUAUUUGAAGGAAAAUGAACUGCAAUACCUGUUAAUAUGACAUCUCCUUCAAAAAGUGUCAUAAUUGAACUUAUGUGGCUAAUUAGAUAUGGUAUCUUAAAAAUCAUAUCCUUAGUGGAGCCUUUCUGUCGAAUCUCUCCAUCAACCUGCAGUGAAACACAUUUAAAGUUAAUCCACCCAGUGAAAAACAAAUUUGAAGCUUUGACAAAAGCCAUAAAGAAAUAUGAGAGUAAAGUGUAAUGAUUAUGCACCUUUAACCAUAGUUCCAAGUUGUGAGGGUCAGGCACUGCUGACUUUGGUAGCUGCAAAUAUAUUUUAAACAAGUCAAAAAGGAGUGUAUUUAGUAAACACAUAACAAAAUUGGCAAUAGAAAAUAAAAUUCUCUUCCUCUCUUCUUUUCUACUAGCAGAUACAAGUAAAGGGUGCACCAAGCGGAGGAUAAAUGGUAAACUCUUGUCUGCUUUGAAAGAAAAACACCAAUUUUCUUUUUCAAACUUCGACAAACAAGGUAUAAUCGCUAUUCUCAAGCACAAUUAUUUCCUUCCCAUAGCCUAUCCCAAAGCCACAUUUGGUGCUGUCAAUGGCCUAACAAUAAACUGGUUCAAAAUUAGGCUUUCAAUAUCGGGCCUGAAAAUUGAUUACUGCACAACAUAAUUUCAGCAGAGACAGAAACAUCAAAGUACUUCAAUCAGUUUCUUACGACAGAGCUAAUUGGAGUGAAGGUGUCCUGCCCUUUAACCACUGUCCACGGAAGACAUGCAGACGGACAUAUUGGACAAAAAAUAAAUGACAAGAAAAUGCAGCAUUAUAAAUUGGAUCAAAUAAGAUAACUUAAUGUGCUCAUACACUUAUUGUUUCAUAAUGAAGCACACAAGUAGUAUCCAAUCUUCUGAUUAUAAGUAGGUAUUAUUUCAGUAUACAAUUGAAUAAUACUCGAUCCUCGUGUUAAAAAAACAUAACACAUUACAAAGGAAUAAACCCAUCUUCUCUCAUAGGCAUAAAUUCUCUCCAAAUCGAAAAGAAAAAAAAAAUGUGCUAUUUAAUCGCCAAGACAUUGAUUCGGAACCUGUCUAAUUUCAUUACAAAACUUCCAAUCUGAGUAUUCUUUAAAUAUCUGAAAGAUUAAAAUUUAUCCAAAUAAUAAUCUCAUUAGCUGUUAUUCGAAAAUGUUGGGAUCCGGUCAUAAGAUUAUCCCCUUAGCGAUCCGGUUGUUAUUAUUCCAAUCCUCAAAAUUUCACCCAAAUUUGGUUAAGAAAUUGCUGAUAAGUCAUUUAAGGUGAUGUUUCCCGCUGCACUUUUUCAAUUGCAAGUGGUACGAGAGUAGACAGAUACCGAUCACCAGAGUCUUGGGUCGAGUGACUUAUCUCCUUAACGAAUUCUUCAUGUUCAGGACCUCGAUGCGAACUGAAAUUUUGGUAAAUGAAGCAAAAUCUAAGUUAAAAUGAUCUGCUUUAGAAUUUAAGGUUUCUUCAAAACCAAGGCGGAACGUUAGCCAAAAAUGUGCAUUUCUUUUCCUAAGUUAAAAUGAUUUGCCUCGUUUACUUAUUUAUUAUUGGCUCAAAUAAGCUUGACCAGCAAGCAUGAAGGAAGUUGAACAACAGCCAGUGAAGUAAGUUGUAUCAUCAUCUGGUGAAUCUGUUUUAGCCUGCUGCUGCACACGAGUAAUUUGAUAUGAUAACAAUUUAAAACUGCAAUGCAAUAUGGAAACAGAAGUUUUAAGGGGCACUAACAGCUUGCAUUCGGUAACUUUGUGCUGUUGAUGGCUCAGAGUUCCCACGGCUUCUUCUCUCAUUCACAAGAAGAAGUGCACAUUUUCAUGUAAAGAACAGAAGCAGCACUCCCACAAAAAACGUAAUAGAGAAUUCGAUGACAAUGCCUGAUCCUAGAGCUGUAUUCGCAGGAAAAGGUUAGUGAGCAACAAAUCUGUGAAAUGGAUAGUCAUUAAAAUGACAACUAUCACUUACUAUGAGCUAACUCUGAACUCAUUGGCCUUCUACUGAUCAAGUUUACGGUAGCCUCAGCGAAUAAAGGUAAUGAGAUUUUCUCAGUACAAUCUGAACGGCAACCAUAAUGUCCCAUAUCGUUUAAUUUCACUUUUAAAACAUCAUGUCCUUCACCACUCUAAAUGCAAAGAACAGAUGGCUGAUUCAAGAUCAUUGAUAUUUUCUUUGUGGUGUGCUCUGUGAUUGUGUUUUCCUCCAAAGUUAUACUAUAAACUUCAAAGCGAAAAAACUUACUUGAUAAAAGAGUUGUUGCAUUAUUGUGCCUCGAAACCUAACUACGUUGGCUUUAAUUGUUACAAUAUAUCCAGGGACUUGAAUAAAUGGAGAAUCAUUAACUGGAUCCACAAAAACCAAAACCGCCAAAUCAUUUUUCCCAUUCUUGUUCCUGGCAGAGACUAGAAUUGCGUCCUCACCAUAAAAGUUUUUGUUUCUGAAUUAAAAAAUGAAAAAAACAAGUCACUAGUAAGGUAGGAAUAAUGUAAAGCUUGAAAAGUCCAUAAGAGUAGUAAUUCGGGAGGUAAUACCCGAGAUAUUGAAUUAUAUCGAGUGAGUGAUAAUACUGGCUGUCACUUCCUUUGUCAAUGGAUAGCCCCCAUUCAAAACAAUAUUUGCGCAGAGUACAAGAAUUUUAUAAAUUCCACUCUUUUCAGGAGUAUAAGUAACAUCAAAAGCUCUGGCCUGAACUUUCAGUUUGCCGGAAGACUGGAUUCAAGGGGAAUUUUUUUUUUUUUUUAAAAAAAAGAAGGCAUCACUCAAGAAAAUCUUAUGCAUGACUUCUCAAAGAAAAUAUGUGAAUUUGUUUCUUACUGUGUUAGUUGCGUCAACAGACGGUGAGGGAGCAAUUUCUAUCUGGUCAAUAAUGCCAUUAGUUGGUUCUAUUAAUCUUCCAUUUCUAAAACGAUAGGGCUGAAGUCUGUUAUAAUUAAUUAGUCUUCGAUAUGAUAUUAUAUUAUUGUAUGUAGUCAAAUAAUAACAAUGUAAUAUUAGCUUUAGACUGUUUAUAAGACUUUUAACUUAGAGAUGUUUCGGUGACAUAAUUUAUCAUCACAAACAUUAAUCUGGAUCUGCCGAGCCAUGUCAUGUGGGGGAAUUAAAAAGAGAGAGCAGCACAGCAUACAAGAAAAUAUUCUGAAAUGGUGCCCAAAUUCAACAACUAAUAAACAAGCAAACUUGUAUCUUAUAAUUUUUUUUUUUUUCUUUUAUCUAAGAAGCCUGUGGUGUCUAAUCCACCUUCAAGUACAUACUGUAUUAGCAAUUAACUUAUUCGUAGUGUACUUUGAAAAGUGUAACUGAAUAUGAUCCUAAAAAACAUAAUGAAUUCAAUCAACAGUAUCUCCCCUGCCAUUCAUUUGAGGAGUCUUCAUAUAGUACAGUGCUGUAUGACAUACAGCCUACUUUUUCCACUUGAACAACCGGUAUUUUACCGGUUGUUCUUUCAAUAAUUUUUUAAAAAUCAUUUUUAAUGCAGAAAAAAUAAAAUAAAAUGAAAAAAAUUAAGGAAAUUUAUAAACAUUUAACUUAAAAAAUAUUUGAGUGAGAAAAAUAUUUUUAAUCUAAAUGAAAGUUAAAAAAAAAGGUAAAAUAAUCAUGUCCCAAUACUUUUGGUUAAAUAUCAAUAUAUUAGGUUGAUGUUUCAAAUUAAUUUCACAUGUCUCUAAUUUUGGUUAAACUUUCUCACGAAUAGGUUCAUUUGUUUAUACUUUCCAAUUCACUAGUUUUGUGCUUAAUAUUCCUAUUAAAUUCGUUAGAUACUAAUAUUUUGGGUUAAAUUCCAAGUAGAUUCGUUUCUCGUUAAAAAAGUUUCUAAAUUUGGUUAUUCUUUCUCCCCUUUUGGUUUAUAUGUUUCAACUAUUAUUCCACUGGUUUUGCGUUUAAUAUUCCAACUAACUUGGUAAGAUUCCGGUUGUUUGGGUUAAAUACCCAAAUUAUUUUUUUUUGGUUAGAUUAGUUCCUGAUUUUGGUUAUUUUUUUUCAUUUAUAGGUUCAUAUAUUUCAAUUUAUUAUUCCACCGAUUUUACAUUUGAUAUUCCUACUAAAUUCGUUAAAUGCCAAAAUUUUGGGUUAUGUUCCAAGUAACUUUCAUUUUCCGUUGGAUGAAUUCCUAAUUUUCAUUACACUUUCUCUCUUAUUGGUUCAUGUGUUUCAACUAAUUGUUACUCUAAUUUUGUGUUAAAUAUUUCCAUUAAUUUGGCAAGAUUCCAAUUAUUCCGGUUAGGUACCAGAUUUAUUUUUCAUAAUUUUAUUUUUGGUUAGGUAAGUUCCUAAUUUUGGUUAUACUUUCUCCCUUAUGGGUCUAUAUAUUUCAACUAUUAUUUCACUGAUUUUGCAUUUAAUAUUCCAAUUAACUUAGUAAGAUUCCGGUUGUUUGGGUUAAAUACCCAAAUUAUUAUUUUUGGUUAGAUUAGUUCCUAAUUUUGAUUAAGUUUUUUCAUUUAUAGGUUCAUAUGUUUCAAUUUAUUACUCCACUGAUUUUACGUUUGAUAUUCCUACUAAAUUCGUUAAAUGCCAAAAUUUUGGGUUAUGUUACAAGUAACCUUAAUUUUUCGUUGGAUGAGUUCCUAUUUUUCGUUGCACUUUCUCUCUUAUUGGUUCAAGUGUUUCAACUAAUUGUUACUCUAAUUUUGUGUUGAAUAUUCCCAUUAAUUUGGUAAGAUUCCAAUUAUUUCGGUUAGUUACCAAAUUUAUUUUUCAUAAUUUUAUUUUUGGUUAAAUAAGUCCCUAAUUUUGGUUAUACUUUCUCCCUUAUGGGUACAUAUAUUUCAACUAUUAUUUAACUGAUUUUGCGUUUAAUAUUCUAAUUAACUUGGUAAGAUUCCGGUUGUUUGGGUUAAAUACCCAAAUUAUUUUUUUUGGUUAGAUUAGUUCCUAAUUUUGAUUAAGUUUUUUCAUUUACAGGUUCAUAUGUUUCAACUUAUUAUUCCAUCGAUUUUACGUUUGAUAUUCCUACUAAAUUUGUUAAAUACCAAAAUUUUGGGUUAUGUUCCAAGUAACUUUCAUUUUUCGUUUGAUGAGUUCCUAAUUUCCGUUGCGCUUUCUCUCUUAUUAGUUUAUGUGUUUCAAGUAAUUGUUACUCUAAUUUUGUGUUGAAUAUUCCUAUUAAUUUGGUAAGACUCCAAUUAUUCCGGUUAGGUACCAAAUUUAUUUUUCAUAAUUUUAUUUUUGGUUAGGUAAGUAUCUAAUUUUGGUUAUACUUUCUCCCUUAUGGGUCUAUUUGUUUCAACUAUUAUUCUACUAAUUUUGGUUUGAACCUUCCCAUUAACUUGGCAAUAUUCCAAUUAUUGGGUUAAAUAGUCAAUGUACUCGUAUUACCAAUAACAAUAAUAUUAAUAAGGUGAAUUAUGUUUAACCCCUUACUAUUUUAGUAAAUAUCAACUUACUAUAUAGUACUAAAAAAUCUUUAUUACAACCCUUAAUCUUUUCUAAUAUUUUGUCUAUAAUCUAAGUCCAUUUUUUUUCUAUUUUCUUCACUUGAAUUUGAUUGUGUGUGUGUGUGUGUGUGUGUGUGUGUGUCUAUAUAUAUAUAUAUAUACAUACUUGAGCGAGUAAUCUUUAUACAUAUUUAUUCUCAUUUUAUCAUUUUAAUUAAUUGUUUUUAGUUAUCAAGUAAAUUAAUGCAUUCAUUUUCAGCUUUGACAGUAGAUUAAAAGUAUAUAUAAAGGUGCGUGCAAUUGCUGUGUUUUUCAAAAAAAAAUUAAUUUUUUAAAAGUUUUGACAGCAUAAAUUAUAAAAAAAAUUUAAACUUACAAAAGUUGAAAUUUUCUUAAUUUAUUUGUGUUGAAUUAUCUUUUUUCUCUUUUUGGGGGGAUCAAUUGAAUUGAUAAGAUUUCUUGAACUUGAAUUUAUUUAUACUUAAAUUUUGAUUUUUGUAAAUGUUAUGCCCAUUUUAUCAUUCAAUUAACCAUAUUUAUUUAUCUUUAAACUAAAAUAAAUCAAGAAUUAAGAUUUUUUUGAAUUCGAAUUAAAUUUUUACCACUCUAUUUUCUUUUCAAAUUAGUUUUAGUAAUUUCCAACUACUUCAACAAAAUAUUUAUGUUAUUAAUUAUAAAUAUUAUUAUAUUAUACUUGUAUUAUUACCACUAUUAUUAUUAUUUGUUUUUUAAACUAUUACUACAAUUAUUAUUACUACAAUCAUGAGAUUUUUUAACAAAAUUUUUUCUUACAAUGAGUAUUCUUCCUUUUCAUUUUUAAAUAUGUAUAUAAUUUUUGAUUUAUAAAAUAAGUUCUUCAAUAUAAUUUUCAGAAAUUUGUUAUGCCCAACAAUAUGGUACGAUGAAAAUCUAACAUUAUAGUAAUAUGAUUUUGCAUGUUUAAUUAAUUUAUCUUUUUCAAAUGGUCUUUUUUACUCAUAAAAUUAUUGACAUUUAUUUGCAAAUAAAAUUAUAACGUCCUCCUAAUUUAUCCGAUGCACUUAAAAAUUACUCAAAUCAAGAGUUUCAUUACAAGAAUGAGAACUUCGAUCACUUAAGCAGUUACUUACAAUAGUAACAUAAUGUGAGGCUUAUUGAAAAGUUAAAAUUGUAAAAAGAGUCGACCCUAAAACCACUUUUGUUCAGAAAUUUUUUUACAAACUUGUGAGAAAAUAACUCUUUAAAAACUAUUAAUAUCAAUAAAACAAUCACAAAAUUAAAUCAAUUCACAGCUUCCAAAAGCUAAAUCAAAUGCUAAUAAUUUGAGAUUUAGAUUUCAUGGGUCUCUGCAUAAAAAAAUACAAAAACCAAAUGAAAUUAGAAAAAAAGGCUGCAAAAAAAUAACAAAAAUAUUCAAAUUUCAAAGGUAUGAUCCAAAUUCUUAGGCAGGAUCAAAUAUCUAUUGUUUUGAACAAAAAAAAAUUGAAACUUAAAUAUAAAAUAACACAAAACUAUAUUCUAAUUUUAACAACAUAUUUUUUUGAUGAUUUUUUAACAACAAUAUUCAAAAUAUAAAAAAAAAAAUUUCUCGACUAGGGUUUCUAACAAUGGAAGAAUGAGAGGUAUUUAUAUUUUGAAUCAAAAUUUGGGGAAAAAAUUAAAAAAUUGUAAAUGUACGCGGUAUUAAAACAAAAUUGCUUUUUAUCUUGGCGGUAGUUUUACCCACCUAAAUGAAACCUAAGUACUUAUUGUUUCACCAAAAAAAUAAUAUAAUUUAAUUUAAAAAAUAUAGAUAUAAAAUUUAAGCUUGUUAAUAUUUUUACAUAAUUUUAUAUUUUUAGUUGUUAUAUAAAUUAACUUAAUUUUAAAAAAUAUAGAUAUAAAUGUAAGAUUGAACUAAUUUUGUGAUCAUUGCACACUAUUCAGUAUACAAAUCAUGAACCAUCAAGUGAGUGUAGUGUUACUCAAAUAAUUUGAUUUAAUUUAGAAAUGUAAUUGUCGUGCUUAAAGUAUAUAACUGUAAAAAUAAUUUAAUAUAACAUUAUUCAAUAUUAGUUGCAUUCAAUUUGUAAUUAUCCAUAUUAUGUACCAUUAUAAAUUUGAUUAAUGUUUAGCAAAAAAAAAUUACUAUACCAAAAAAAAUUAAAUAAAGUAAUUAAUUUGACAUAAUUUUGUAUAAAUCAAUUUGCAUAAGAGAUUGUUUGUGAGUUUUAUUUAAAAAUAUGAAAUAUUAGAUGCUUUAUAUUUGUCUAAUAUAUGAUUUUUUUUUUAGAGGGUAUACAAAGAACAUAUAUUAGCCACUAAUAAUAACAACAACAACAACAUUUGAGGGGUAAGUAUGAUUUUGGUAUAAUAAUUAUUCGAUAGUUGGAUAAACAUUACAAUCAUUUUCGUAGUUAGGGAUUUAAGUCCUUAUAUGUGUAUUGUGGUUUGUGGGAUAUUGAGAUUGAUUUCUUCCAAAUAUUUAGGAAUGAAUUGUUUUUAUUAUAUGUUUAGAUACUUGGAUUUUAAUGUGAUUAAAAGUUGAUAAAGUUGUUUUGAUAGUUUUUUAGGCAAAACAUCAUUACAUUUAUAAAGUAAUAUAAAAAUAGUUUAAUUGAUAUAUAAUUUAUUUUUUAAUUAAUAUAUAGUUUAUUGUAAUUUUUUAUAUUAAAAUAUUAUUCUUAUUAGUACUUAAGUUACAUUUUAAAGUAAAAUAUCAUUAAAUUUAUAACGUAAUAUUAAUAAAAUAAAAUAAUUAUUUUUGUUUAAAUAUAUUAAUCUAUUAAUUUUACUUAAUUAUAUUUUUAUUAGUACAUAAGUUAAAUAUAUUAACUAUUUUUUCAUGAAUUAAAAGAAAAAGUAGUAUUUUCUUUUUUUAAGUUGAGGGGGUCUUUGAUAGUUUUCUAACUUUAGAUUGAUUAUCGUAAUAUUUACCUAACAUGAGGGAGCCAUAUGAUAGUUACCAUUUAAUAUUUGCCUCUUUUAAGCAAUUAAAAUGAGAGUACCGGUGGCCGGUUAUUGGUUGUAUUAAUAAAAUAAUAAAAAGCGGCUGUAUGAGAUACAACCGCUGUAUUAUAAGCGGACCCUCAUUUGAGAACUUGUUUUAUCUAAGAAGCCGGUGGUCUAAUCCAAAUCAUACUUGUCUAUCUCGGUACAGCUGCCCGAGAUGGGCCACACUGCAAUGCUUUUCAAAAUUUCUCUGAAAUACUCGUCAAAAAAAAAAAAAAAAAAAAUUUCUCUGAAAUAUAUAGGUGUAUUUUCCGACACUUAAUUAAAUGAGUUUUAAUUCAAUUAAAUGAUGAUGUUACAGCUCACGCCCUAAAAAGUAACGUACAAUCAUAAGGCCACGCCUAUGUUACAACUGUAGUGAGUUACCACACUUUUUGUCUGUUUGCUAGUAAACCGUUGGGUUCAAAUGAAAGUGAUCCAACGAUCAAUAACUUGACACCUGGACAUUAAUGCUUACCGGCUAAUUCGGUUAUGAAAAGUAAUAAAUUCGAGACCAAAAUUGUGGUGCUAGGUAACAACGCUCUGGUUGUGAAUAACGAAAUUAAAGGAAAGAUAAAAAUGCAACAAAACAGUGGUGUCUGGUAACAACCACGGUGUUAACAAGAAUAAGUUAAUCCAAUUCUAGAGAGUAGCAGCAAACUUACCAAAAAAAUUAUCAGAGACAAUUUAUCAAACACCUAUUUUUGUGCUUAAAACUGCAAAUUUGCAAUCUCAUUACAGACCUAAUCUAUCAUUGUCAAAAAAAUCCAUCAAAAUCAUUAAAAAAAAAAAGUCUUCAAAUAUAAAGAGAAUGGAAAAAAAAAAAAUCCGCCUUUUAACAAUAUUGAUAGUCGAUAGCUGCCGACGCUACCAAUUCUAUACCAGCUAUGUUCGCAGGUCGCUGUCACUUCCAUGGCAAGCAUUUUGAUCUAGCUGCCAUCGUCUGGACUUGAAAUUGCAGGUAAUCGCCUUGCUGCCAUCAUGGAGAUGUAUGAACCAUGGCCAAUAGGCAUCAAAUUCAUAAGCAACACCGCCCACAUUCACCAAGUUCAUGCCAAGCCCACCAGCAACCAUUGAUUAAUGGCAAGUUUAGUGUUUUAAAGUCUAGAAUUUUGUAGACACUCUCGGUUUCUUUUACCGUUAAUUCACUACCACCGCCGAUUUGGUUGAGGAAAAUAAAUGUUUCAGAGUUUACAAGGGUAAUUGAUUAACAUUAUUAAAAAAAAAAAUUGAUAGUGUGGCCUUUUUUAAAAUUGAAAUGUAGAAAGUGGUUAAAUCUGUAGAUUCUCAUUAAAAUUGAACCCAAAAUAUAAUUAAAAUAUUAUACAAAUUCAUUAAAUCUUCAACAUAAUUCUAAACCCACAAAAUGAAUUAAUUUAAAAGGAAAAUACCCAUUAUUUGGAGAAGCACUUACUACCGUACCCAUGUAACAAAUCAUCAAAAACCAACUUGGUUUGGACUUUGGACUCUUCAAUUUCAAUUUGACUCCUCCACCAAAGCACCCAACAACAACUCAACAACUAAAUCACUCGUCCUAAUAGCAUAACAAUCCGGCCGCCGGCUGCCUGCACGUGAGAGGCCAUUUUCUUGGUCAUGGUCGGAAUUCUGGAAUUAAUUCUGCGAUCCUCUUGUAUCGAUUUUCAUCUUCUAUGCUGCUCAAGAAGUGAAAAAAGAUGUCGGUUAAACCCUAAUUACAAUCACUUCCGGUUUCAAUUAGCUGAUGUUUGUCAUCCUCUUAUAUUAAUUUUGGUUUACAGUUGCCUGAAGAAGAGCAUCCAUGUCCGUCGAAUCCUGCUUACCCUUAGUUUUACCUGCAAUUAGAUUUAUGUAAAUUAAAGCAACCGGCUAAACCGUUGACCAGUGGUCGUUUAAUUAUCAAACAAUUAUUUGUGGCCGUUAGAUUAAAUAAUAAGGCAUCCAUCGGCUGUACUAAAUACAGACAAAAAGUAUGAUAUGAUACAACUGUUGUAACAGAGCUGAUCCAAUUAUUGAUCUAAUCUACAGUUAUCACCAGCUGUGGUAUCAUAUCGCUGUAGCACUGGACCCCUAUAUAUGAUGCAAUCAUGCAAAACGAUUCUCCUCGAACUCAUCCUAUAAAGUUAUCUUUACCAGCAAUCCAUUCUUGGAUAAUCCGCUUGGAAAGUCUUCCUUUUCAUUCCUAAUUUUUCCUCUCUCUUCUAUCCUCUAACUUUAGUUAGCAACAUAAUAACCAGAAAUCAGAACCUCUAAUUCACUCACAGGCAGUGUUUUUACUUUUGAGGUACUGAAUUAACAUGAAGGGCAUCCAACACAGAACUGUUAAGGUGAAUGGUAUUAACAUGCACAUUGCAGAGAAAGGCCAAGGUCCCGUGAUUCUCUUCCUUCACGGCUUUCCUGAGCUCUGGUACUCUUGGCGCCACCAGAUCACCGCCUUGGCUUCCCUUGGCUACAGAGCCGUGGCUCCGGACUUACGUGGGUUCGGUGACACGGAUGCGCCGCCUGACGUGACCAGCUACACAUGUUUCCACGUGAUUGGAGACCUCGUCGGACUCAUCGACACCGUGGCUCCCAAUGAUGAGAAGGUGUUUGUUGUGGGACAUGAUUGGGGUGCGUUCAUGGCAUGGCUCUUAUGUUUGUUUAGACCUGACAGAGUCAAAGCUUUAGUCAACUUGAGUGUCGUUUUUAAUCCUUUUGGUUCUAUCAACAACGUGAUUGAGGCUCUGAGGGCUUAUUAUGGUGACAAUUACUACAUGUGCAGAUUUCAG
Molecule: long non-coding RNA, 37468 nt
Filed under: Citrus maxima (pomelo)
Lineage: Eukaryota; Viridiplantae; Streptophyta; Magnoliopsida; Sapindales; Rutaceae
Description: long non-coding RNA (CMAX_LNC003587)
Source: RNAcentral